Long non-coding RNA from Priapulus caudatus, 144 nucleotides. RefSeq lists it as uncharacterized. The record is from RefSeq and is a predicted model, not a curated record. The transcript has 3 exons. Lineage: Eukaryota; Metazoa; Priapulida; Priapulimorpha; Priapulimorphida; Priapulidae.
CGUUAAUUAGUUACAAGAAGCAUCUCUCGAUGGCAGCCUGUAGCUUGCGUAGGUAAAUGGAUGAGUGCUUACGCUAUUCGUCUUGCAACCUAUAUGUUCUACUACGUACGAUGGGAGCAUUCCAUCUUUUAAUGCUGAAGACAC